Molecule: ribosomal RNA, 463 nt
Filed under: Microlepidogaster longicolla
Lineage: Eukaryota; Metazoa; Chordata; Actinopteri; Siluriformes; Loricariidae
Description: partial 16S ribosomal RNA
Rfam family: Bacterial large subunit ribosomal RNA
Source: RNAcentral
UUAAACGGCCGCGGUAUUUUGACCGUGCAAAGGUAGCGCAAUCACUUGUCUUUUAAAUGAAGACCUGUAUGAAUGGUGAAACGAGGGCUUAGCUGUCUCCCCCCUCUAGUCAAUGAAAUUGAUCUAUCCGUGCAGAAGCGGGCAUAACCAUACAAGACGAGAAGACCCUUUGGAGCUUAAGACAGAAGACCAACUAUGUUAAAAACCACAAAAAUGAUACUAAACCAAUUAGUGCUGGUCACAGUCUUCGGUUGGGGUGACCGCGGGAGAAAAUAAAGCUCCCAUGCGGACAGGGGAACCCCCCUAAAACUAAGAAAGACAUUUCUAAAGCGCAGAACAUCUGACCAUUAAGAUCCGGCCUCAUGCCGAUCAACGGACCAAGUUACCCUAGGGAUAACAGCGCAAUCCCCUUCCAGAGUCCAUAUCGACAAGGGGGUUUACGACCUCGAUGUUGGAUCAGGAC